This 631-nucleotide ribosomal RNA is filed under the name Malassezia restricta. RNAcentral describes it as "eukaryotic LSU rRNA". It matches the Rfam family "Eukaryotic large subunit ribosomal RNA", at positions 39 to 657 of the family's 3401-position model. Lineage: Eukaryota; Fungi; Basidiomycota; Malasseziomycetes; Malasseziales; Malasseziaceae. The record is from RNAcentral.
CAUAUCAAUAAGCGGAGGAAAAGAAACUAACAAGGAUUCCCCUAGUAACGGCGAGCGAAGCGGGAAGAGCUCAAAUUUGAAAGCUGGCGUCUUCGGCGUCCGCGUUGUAAUCUCGAGACGUGUUUUCCGUGCGGCUCUAUGGACAAGUCCCUUGGAACAGGGCAUCGUAGAGGGUGAAAAUCCCGUACUUGCCAUGGAAGUACCGUGCUUUGUGAUACACGCUCCAAGAGUCGAGUAGUUUGGGAUUGCUGCUCAAAGUGGGUGGUAGACUCCAUCUAAAGCUAAAUAUCGGGGAGAGACCGAUAGCGAACAAGUACCGUGAGGGAAAGAUGAAAAGCACUUUGGAAAGAGAGUUAAAAGUACGUGAAAUUGUCGAAAGGGAAGCACUUGAAGUCAGCCAUGCUGCUUGAGACUCAGCCUGGCUUUUGCUUGGUGUAUUUCUCGGUAGCAAGCCAGCAUUGGUUUGUGUCGUCGGAGAAGCGUAUGGGGAAUGUGGCAUCCUCGGAUGUGUUAUAGCCCUGUGCAGGAUACGACGACGUAGACCAAGGAACGCAGUGUGCCCUCUGGGCGGGUCUUCGGACACCUUCACACUUAGGAUGCUGGCGUAAUGGCUUUAAGUGGCCCGUCUUGA